RNAcentral lists this microRNA (24 nucleotides) under Cricetulus griseus (Chinese hamster). Its description in RNAcentral is "cgr-miR-497b". Its record names the gene cgr-miR-497b. Lineage: Eukaryota; Metazoa; Chordata; Mammalia; Rodentia; Cricetidae. RNAcentral also lists the same sequence under 1 other name. The record is from miRBase by way of RNAcentral.
CACCACAGUGUGGUUUGGACGUGG